AAGACACAAGAAUAGAAAGGGGAUCGGUUUGGCAACAUGUGCCAUAAGGGGUUCUUCCCAUGGUAAAAAAGAAGUGGCUUGUUUAUUUACCUUGGCUUUUACAUUCACAGCUGUUUGCCAGCCUUUUGCCCUCCCCUAGACAUUCUCACUGAGGGACACGUGACUUGCCAAGGUUUGUACAGUCCAGUGACACUGACCACACUUUUGUGUCUUUGCUUUACCAUAGACGGUGGUCUGACAUCCCUCUCGGUGCACACAGUGCUGUUGAAGCAAGUGAUGACCAAAGGGAUCCCUUAGCUCGCACGAACGCUAAGAUGUGUUCCUUCUCAGAAAUGUGAUUUAACUCAGUCAUGUGGAAUUAUAAAAAGCUGAGGAUGUAAAUCCACAUGAUAAAUAAUAAACCUUUAUCUGAGCUUUCCGCACCAAGUCCAGACAUUUGAACUGUCAGGUAAUCAUUAACACAGCGGAUCAAGACAACUCAGAACAAACUAAUUUGCAAUUUCUUGUGCAUUUCUUUUGGAUAAAACAAAAACAAAGGAGUCUCUCCCCCCAUUCCUGGAGCCAGCACAGAUCAUGUUGUCUGUGAUUCUGAAGGGGUAGUAAUUCCAGCAGCUGGUGAACAAUUCCACCUCCACUGACCUCAGUUCGGGGGAUAAACUCUGGCUGUACAUCCAGCUUGAAGACUUCUAUCUAUUAUCUAGAAUGGAAGAUAAGGAAAGGGAAGGAAAACAACAGGAGGAAGAUGGAAGAGCAGCUGCAACAGUACAACAUCGGAGGGGUUUGGAACAGCCUGAAGAGAAGCUCAGGACAAAAACCAACCCCCCAGGCUGCAGGAGACUUGCGGUGGGUGAAUGACCUAAACAAAUAUUUUAAUAGGUUUGAUCAACCACCCACCCCUCCCCCAGCAUCAUCCCCCCUGCUGCAAUCUCCCUCAUCUUCAGGGACUGCCUGUCUUUCAUCUCAGGACUUCUCAGCUCCCAGCCAUCACACCCACCCCAGGCUUCUGUGAACUCCAACAUACACCCCCCUCCCCCAAAAUCCACUCUUUCUAUCUCAGCACUUCAAGUGAGGAACGAGCUUCGCAAAAUCAAGGUGCGGAAGGCUGCAGGUCCAGAUGGCAUCAGCUCCACACUCCUGAAGUGCUGCGCAGAUGAACUGUCUGGCAUUCUAGGGUAUCUGUUCAACCUGAGCCUGUCGCUGGGGAAAGUACCACAGCUGUGGAAGACCUCCUGUCUGGUACCGGUACCAAAGACCUCCCAUCCCAAGGACCUCAGCAGCUACAGGCCGGUAGCCCUGACAUCACAUCUGAUGAAGACCCUCGAGAGGUUGUCUCUAAACCAUCUGCGGCCCCUGGUGAGGUCUUCAUUGGAUCCGCUGCAGUUUGCUUACCAGCCUGGAAGCACUGUGA
This is a long non-coding RNA of Oreochromis niloticus (Nile tilapia), 1408 nucleotides long. RefSeq lists it as uncharacterized. The record is from RefSeq and is a predicted model, not a curated record. The transcript has 3 exons. Lineage: Eukaryota; Metazoa; Chordata; Actinopteri; Cichliformes; Cichlidae.